UUUUCCGGUUGAUCCUGCCGGAGGCCAUUGCUAUCGGGGUCCGAUUUAGCCAUGCUAGUUGUACGAGUUCAGACUCGUAGCGAAUAGCUCCGUAACACGUGGCCAAACCACCCUCCAGAGAACGAUAACCUCGGGAAACUGAGGCUAAUAGUUCAUACCCGUCUCACGCUGGAAUGCCGAGACGUGCAAACGCUCACGCGCUGAAGGACGUGGCUGCGGCCGAUUAGGUAGACGGUGGGGUAACGGCCCACCGUGCCGAUAAUCGGUACGGGUUGUGAGAGCAAGAACCCGGAAACGGAAUCUGAGACAAGAUUCCGGGCCCUACGGGGCGCAGCAGGCGCGAAACCUUUACACUGCACGCACGUGCGAUAAGGGGACCCCGAGUGCGAGGGCAUACAGUCCUCGCUUUUCAGUACCGUAGGGAGGUACUGGAAUAAGAGCUGGGCAAGACCGGUGCCAGCCGCCGCGGUAAUACCGGCAGCUCGAGUGAUGGCCGAUCUUAUUGGGCCUAAAGCGUCCGUAGCCGGCCACGCAAGUUCAUCGGGAAAUCCGCCAGCCCAACUGGCGGGCGUCCGGUGAAAACUGCCUGGCUAGGGACCGGAAGACCCGAAGGGUACGUCUUGGGUAGGAGUGAAAUCCUGUAAUCCUGGACGGACCACCGAUAGCGAAAGCACUUCGGGAAGACGGAUCCGACGGUGAGGGACGAAAGCCAGGGUCUCGAACCGGAUUAGAUACCCGGGUAGUCCUGGCCGUAAACGAUGUCUGCUAGGU
This 771-nucleotide ribosomal RNA is filed under the name uncultured haloarchaeon. Its description in RNAcentral is "bacterial SSU rRNA". It matches the Rfam family "Archaeal small subunit ribosomal RNA", at positions 1 to 772 of the family's 1478-position model. The record is from RNAcentral. Lineage: Archaea; Methanobacteriati; Methanobacteriota; Halobacteria; Halobacteriales; Halobacteriaceae.